RNAcentral lists this unclassified non-coding RNA (266 nucleotides) under Hevea brasiliensis (rubber tree). The record is from RNAcentral. Lineage: Eukaryota; Viridiplantae; Streptophyta; Magnoliopsida; Malpighiales; Euphorbiaceae.
GGAAAUAGCCAUGAUUGUAGUCGGCAUGAAAUCCAGAGUUCUUAAGACGAUCAGCAGUAUCUCUAAGCUUUUCAGCUUCUGCCAAGAUAAUAGAAGCAGUCUGACUGGAGGACUCUCUUUUUGAGGGGGUAGGAGCACUGGGUUCCUGCACUGCACAAUGAUCAGACUCCAACCGGCCCAUACUGUUGUGACUUGCGUUUUGACACACACCAAUGCCAGGAUCUUUUAGUAUCGUUGACACUCUGGCACUUACAGAAGAAUUCACC